This 492-nucleotide ribosomal RNA is filed under the name uncultured bacterium. Its description in RNAcentral is "partial 16S ribosomal RNA". It matches the Rfam family "Bacterial small subunit ribosomal RNA", at positions 29 to 507 of the family's 1533-position model. The record is from RNAcentral.
AGUGAACGCUGGCGGUAGGCCUAACACAUGCAAGUCGAACGGCAGCACAGUAAGAGCUUGCUCUUACGGGUGGCGAGUGGCGGACGGGUGAGGAAUACAUCGGAAUCUACUUUUUCGUGGGGGAUAACGUAGGGAAACUUACGCUAAUACCGCAUACGACCUACGGGUGAAAGCAGGGGAUCUUCGGACCUUGCGCGAUUGAAUGAGCCGAUGUCGGAUUAGCUAGUUGGCGGGGUAAAGGCCCACCAAGGCGACGAUCCGUAGCUGGUCUGAGAGGAUGAUCAGCCACACUGGAACUGAGACACGGUCCAGACUCCUACGGGAGGCAGCAGUGGGGAAUAUUGGACAAAGGGCGCAAGCCUGAUCCAGCCAUACCGCGUGGGUGAAGAAGGCCUUCGGAUUGCAAAGCCCUUUUGUUGGGAAAGAAAAGCAGCAGGUUAAUACCCCGCUGUUCUGACGGUACCCAAAGAAUAAGCACCGGCUAACUUCAUG